UAAGGAAUAUUGGGCAAUGGACGCAAGUCUGACCCAGCCAUGCCGCGUGAAGGAUGAAGGCCCUAUGGGUUGUAAACUUCUUUUAUACGGGAAAAAACCACCGGUCGUGUAUCGGUGCUGAUGGUACCGUAAGAAUAAGCAUCGGCUAACUCCGUGCCAGCAGCCGCGGUAAUACGGAGGAUGCAAGCGUUAUCCGGAUUCAUUGGGUUUAAAGGGUGCGCAGGCGGAUUAAUAAGUCAGUGGUGAAAUCCUACGGCUCAACUGUAGAACUGCCAUUGAUACUGUUAGUCUUGAGUAUUGUUGAGGUAGGCGGAAUGUGUCAUGUAGCGGUGAAAUGCUUAGAUAUGACACAGAACACCGAUUGCGAAGGCAGCUUACUGGGCCAUUACUGACGCUGAUGCACGAAAGCGUGGGGAGCGAACA
Molecule: ribosomal RNA, 423 nt
Filed under: uncultured prokaryote
Description: bacterial SSU rRNA
Rfam family: Bacterial small subunit ribosomal RNA
Source: RNAcentral